AGAGUUUGAUCAUGGCUCAGAAUCAACGCUGGCGGCGUGCCUCAGACAUGCAAGUCGAACGAGAAAGUUCCCUUCGGGGGAUGAGUAAAGUGGCGCACGGGUGAGUAACACGUAGGUAAUCUACCUUCGGGUGGGGAAUAACCCAGGGAAACUUGGGCUAACACCGCAUAAUGCAGCGGCACCACAUGGUGACAGUUGUUAAAGCGGGGGAUUUUAGGACCUCGCGCCUGAAGAGGAGCCUGCGGCGGAUUAGCUAGUUGGUAGGGUAACGGCUUACCAAGGCGACGAUCCGUAACCGGCCUGAGAGGGCGGUCGGUCACACUGACACUGACAUACGGGUCAGACUCCUACGGGAGGCAGCAGUCGGGAAUUUUGGGCAAUGGGCGAAAGCCUGACCCAGCAACGCCGCGUGAAGGAUGAAAUCCCUCGGGAUGUAAACUUCGCAAGAUUGGGAAGAAUUAGUAGGGGUUAAUACCCUCUAUGAUGACGGUACCUUUUGUAAGCUCCGGCUAACUCCGUGCCAGCAGCGGCGGUAAUAC
Molecule: ribosomal RNA, 539 nt
Filed under: uncultured bacterium
Lineage: Bacteria
Description: bacterial SSU rRNA
Rfam family: Bacterial small subunit ribosomal RNA
Source: RNAcentral